GACGGAGGGUGCUAGCGUUGUUCGGAAUUACUGGGCGUAAAGGGCGCGUAGGCGGCCAACUAAGUCAUACGUGAAAUCCCUCGGCUUAACCGGGGAACUGCGUCUGAUACUGGAUGGCUUGAGUUCGGGAGAGGGAUGCGGAAUUCCAGGUGUAGCGGUGAAAUGCGUAGAUAUCGUCAGGAACGCCAAUGGUGAAGACAGGUGACUGGGCUAGUUCUGACACUGAGGCACGAAAGCGUGGGGAGCAAACGGG
Molecule: ribosomal RNA, 253 nt
Filed under: uncultured bacterium
Lineage: Bacteria
Description: partial 16S ribosomal RNA
Rfam family: Bacterial small subunit ribosomal RNA
Source: RNAcentral